UGGGGAAUUUUGGACAAUGGGGGCAACCCUGAUCCAGCAAUGCCGCGUGUGUGAAGAAGGCCUUCGGGUUGUAAAGCACUUUUGUCCGGGAAGAAAUCCCCUGCCCUAAUACGGCGGGGGAUGACGGUACCGGAAGAAUAAGCACCGGCUAACUACGUGCCAGCAGCCGCGGUAAUACGUAGGGUGCGAGCGUUAAUCGGAAUUACUGGGCGUAAAGCGUGCGCAGGCGGUGAUGUAAGACCGAUGUGAAAUCCCCGGGCUCAACCUGGGAACUGCAUUGGUUGACUGCAUUGCUCGAGUAUGGCAGAGGGGGGUGGAAUUCCACGUGUAGCAGUGAAAUGCGUAGAGAUGUGGAGGAACACCGAUGGCG
RNAcentral lists this ribosomal RNA (370 nucleotides) under uncultured bacterium. RNAcentral describes it as "partial 16S ribosomal RNA". It matches the Rfam family "Bacterial small subunit ribosomal RNA", at positions 355 to 717 of the family's 1533-position model. The record is from RNAcentral.